CUUACGGGGGGCAGCAGUGGGGAAUAUUGGACAAUGGGGGCAACCCUGAUCCAGCCAUGCCGCGUGUGUGAAGAAGGCCCUCGGGUUGUAAAGCACUUUCAGUGAGGAAGAACGCCUUGUGGUUAAUACCCAUCAGGAAAGACAUCACUCACAGAAGAAGCACCGGCUAACUCCGUGCCAGCAGCCGCGGUAAUACGGAGGGUGCGAGCGUUAAUCGGAAUUACUGGGCGUAAAGCGCGCGUAGGUGGCUUGAUAAGCCGGUUGUGAAAGCCCCGGGCUCAACCUGGGAACGGCAUCCGGAACUGUCAAGCUAGAGUGCAGGAGAGGAAGGUAGAAUUCCCGGUGUAGCGGUGAAAUGCGUAGAGAUCGGGAGGAAUACCAGUGGCGAAGGCGGCCUUCUGGACUGACACUGACACUGAGGUGCGAAAGCGUGGGUAGCAAACAGGAUUAGAUACCCCUGUAGUC
RNAcentral lists this ribosomal RNA (465 nucleotides) under Vreelandella stevensii. RNAcentral describes it as "partial 16S ribosomal RNA". It matches the Rfam family "Bacterial small subunit ribosomal RNA", at positions 338 to 795 of the family's 1533-position model. The record is from RNAcentral. Lineage: Bacteria; Pseudomonadati; Pseudomonadota; Gammaproteobacteria; Oceanospirillales; Halomonadaceae.